AGGUAUAGCCAUGCCACCUUGAACGUGCCCAAUCCCGUCUGAUCUCUGAAGCUAAGCAGGGUUGGCCUGGUUAGUACUUGGAUGGGAGACCACCUAGGAGUACCAGGUGCUGUAAGGC
Molecule: ribosomal RNA, 118 nt
Filed under: Pteropus alecto (black flying fox)
Lineage: Eukaryota; Metazoa; Chordata; Mammalia; Chiroptera; Pteropodidae
Source: RNAcentral